GACGAACGCUGGCGGCGUGCCUAAUACAUGCAAGUAGAACGCUGAAGGAGGAGCUUGCUUCUCUGGAUGAGUUGCGAACGGGUGAGUAACGCGUAGGUAACCUGCCUGGUAGCGGGGGAUAACUAUUGGAAACGAUAGCUAAUACCGCAUAAGAGUAGAUGUUGCAUGACAUUUGCUUAAAAGGUGCAAUUGCAUCACUACCAGAUGGACCUGCGUUGUAUUAGCUAGUUGGUGAGGUAACGGCUCACCAAGGCGACGAUACAUAGCCGACCUGAGAGGGUGAUCGGCCACACUGGGACUGAGACACGGCCCAGACUCCUACGGGAGGCAGCAGUAGGGAAUCUUCGGCAAUGGACGGAAGUCUGACCGAGCAACGCCGCGUGAGUGAAGAAGGUUUUCGGAUCGUAAAGCUCUGUUGUAAGAGAAGGACGAGUGUGAGAGUGG
RNAcentral lists this ribosomal RNA (444 nucleotides) under Streptococcus mitis. RNAcentral describes it as "bacterial SSU rRNA". It matches the Rfam family "Bacterial small subunit ribosomal RNA", at positions 28 to 464 of the family's 1533-position model. The record is from RNAcentral. Lineage: Bacteria; Bacillati; Bacillota; Bacilli; Lactobacillales; Streptococcaceae.